AGAGUUUGAUCCUGGCUCAGGACGAACGCUGGCGGCAUGCCUAAGAUAUGCAAGUCGAACGUCGAAUCUAGGUCUGAAGAAGCUUGCUUUUGAUGACCUAGUUGAAAGUGGCAAACGGGCGAGUAACACGUGGGUAACCUGCCUCAAACCUGGACAUAGCUUCGUGAAAGCGAAGGUAAUAUCCAAUAGCUAUUAAGGGGAAGUUCCUUAAUGGUAAAGGCUUUUAAACUUCGGUUUAAAGGUUGGUGUGAGAGAGGCCUGCGUCCUAUCAGCUAGUUGGUGAGGUAAUAGCUUACCAAGGCUAAGACGGGUAGAGGGUGUGAGAGCACGACCCUCCGCAGUGGUACUGAGACACGGACCACACUCCUACGGGAGGCAGCAAUCGGGAAUCUUGCGCAAUGGGGGAAACCCUGACGCAGCAAUGCCGCGUGAAGGACGAAGGCCUAAGGGUCGUAAACUUCUUUUAAUAGGGAGCAGGAAGGAUAGUACCUAUUGGAUAAGCACCUGCUAACUGCGUGCCAGAAGCAUCGGUGAUACGUAGGGUGCGAGCGUUGUCCGGAUUUAUUGGGCGUAAAGUGAUCGUAGGCGGUUGAAUAAGUCCUACUUCAAAGACCCAGGCUCAACCUGGGAAAGGGGCAGAAUACUAUUCGACUAGAGGGAGACAGAGGAAUGUGGAAUACUUGGUGUAGCGGUGGAAUGCAUUGAUAUCAAGUAGAACGCCAGAAGCGAAGGCAACAUUCUGGGUCUUUCCUGACGCUGAGGAUCGAAAGCUAGGGGAGCAAAACGGAUUAGAUA
This 795-nucleotide ribosomal RNA is filed under the name uncultured bacterium. Its description in RNAcentral is "bacterial SSU rRNA". It matches the Rfam family "Bacterial small subunit ribosomal RNA", at positions 8 to 784 of the family's 1533-position model. The record is from RNAcentral.